AGACUCUUUUAUAGAUUUAUCUAUAAUAGCCUGAGGUAAGAACUUUGGGCUUCCAUGAUUAUUUUUUAUUUGUCUUGUGUCCUUCAGCUCUUCUGUCUCCUUCAAUGGGAGAGUGGAUUAUUCAGGACUGUAUUCUGUGCUGUGCAGGUGGGACAUGUCUUAAAUAUCUAUAUGCUGAUGGAGUGAGUGGUUAGGGCAUGUUUUUGUUACAUAUACAAAAGACCAGGAGUAAUUUCCAUGAUCUUUGUGUUCCUGCAGUGUAUGUGUGUGUGUGUGUGUGUAUAGUUUCUGGAAAAAAAAAGUAUAACUGCAAAAGACAGGAGCAUGAAUUUGUACCUCUGGGAUUUGUUUCCCUACAGAAAAAGAAGUUCAUAUUCUCCCUCAAAUACAUGUGCACAGUUUGCAUACAUUGUCAUCAUAUAACCACUGGAUUAUGGAGGAAAGAGGGAGUGCAGUCUAGUGAUUGGGACAGAUGGGGAAACAGAAAAAAAGAGAGGCCAAAGGCCUAAACCAAAGCCUCCCAAUGGGAGAGAGACACCCAUGGACUUCAAUGUAAAGACUCUUAUUGACUUUGGCUUUGGGCUUGAUCCAAAUUUCCACUAAAAUUUCCACUAAAGAGACUAGAAAGAGAACUCACAUCUUCCAUCUCUCAAUCCAAUUCACCAACUUUAAAACAGUUAUUUCAGUAUAGUAGUCACAGUUGCUAUGCCUACCAAACCAAAAUAUGUGCUUUAGUCAGGCCAUGUAUAUCAGAAGAUUAUCUGGCCCUUGUCAUUUUAUGUACUAUUUUGAGUUGUUUAGUUUUAUUUUAGAUUUUAUUUUUGUUUGUUGGUAAAAUGAGUCUUAAAUCCAUUUUGUUGUUACAACUCUCGAGACAGAAAAGUGCAUAAUAAAACGGUAGCCCAAGAUGCACUUCAGUCGAGUUGGUUGGGAAAGAUGCCCCACAGCAUGGUGUGUUUCCAUGGGGAAAGGUUCAAUGUUGUUGGAAAUCUCCAGAGCCACGUAAAUGAAUGCCCCUCCUAGGUCCACAAGCAGGAUUCAUCAUACAUCCAGAGAACUGUACAGCUAAGAAGAACAUAAGGUCUGUGGAGCCAUGUGGGAAAACCCAUCCUGCCAUAUAAAUUAUAAACCCUAGGCAUUUUUUAGUAAUUCAUGUAAUCCUCACUUUAUAGAGGAUUCUACUUCUGGGAUUCAUUGCUGGCUUUCAAAUCAGUAACCACAAGCAGUCCCUCUUCUAGACUUAAAGUAGCAGUCAUCCACAACCAUAAACAUACAACCACAGUCACCCCACAAACUCAAACAGACAGCCAUAAAAAUCUCAUAUAGUUCUAAACCUCUGCCCGAAGUAAUCUCUUCCUACAUCAUGUCAUAAAAUACCUAACCUCAUCUGUAAGUUCUCUGCGACAGGGAUUUUUGGCAGGAUUUUCAAAUGUAUCGACAGCCCCUGAAAUCAGGCCUCAAGUUCAUACUCUCUGUAUAAGGUUUCAUUGGCUAUCUAUGGUACCAUAUACAACUAUUACAUAAUCCUCUUAGUAAACAGAUAUAUAAAUAAUAUCAAAGACUCAAGAAAUAUAUCAGCAAAAUGGGUCCCCGCACAGCAUUGUUUGGGCUCCUUUUCAUUCUAAAAUGAAAUUUAAAAAAAAUCAGAGAAAACUGCCUUAUUAACAAAAGCUAUUAAAGUAAUCGAAACACCACAUUAAGCUUUGCUUGCACAGCACUAGACACAAUCAGAAACAUACAUUAGUCAUUUAGAUACAAGAUAAUUUACUGUAUUUUAAGGUCAUGUGGCAUGCUGAGCUCCUGCUUCUCCUUCUGAGCUGUUGUCCUUUUUGAGGUUUGGUGACUGAAAAACACACCACCAUUUUAACAGUUAAAAGAUUACUAUUAACAAUUAGUCGAUGAAAACAGCAACAGAUAUAAACUCGCCCACCUGCUCUGGAAGCAGAUAGAGAGUUUUGAUUGUAUAUUACCGUAACAGAAUUAUUGUGUGGCACAUCCAUAGGCAGUUAGGCACCACCUAAAGGGUAUGGCUCCUCCCAGAUGGCAAGGAUCCCUGAUUCAGAAGUAACCUGAGUUUCCUGUGCUUUCUGCUUUGGGGGAAGAAGCAGUACCAGCUGCCUGGGCGGAGCUGCCCCUGUACCCCCAUCAGUAAUAAAAUACAUGCUCUGUUUACUGAACUCACUCCAGCAUCCAUCCAGCUUUCCAGGGACUUUGCCUGUUUGUGAUACUCCACCAAUAAAGAGACCACAAGGUCACACAACAUUAUGCUAAGGCCUUGCUGUUUAUUACUUAAUUUUAGUGAAACGAUGUAUGGCUGCUGGCUUUACCCAUUUCUGUUUUAAAUGUGGAGUAGACUUGAGCUCUGGAGUUGGAAGGCAGAGUUGAUGGUGCUUUGAGAUUAGGGCAACUUUUUCUUGCCCCUCCUCUCUCUCCUGGCUGUAUUUAUGGUUUACCAUAAUGUAAUGUAAUCUGAGUUGAUAACUGCAUGGUAGGAACAGGUUAAACAAGGAUAAUUGUGAACCUACAUAAAUGUAGAUUCCAAAAUAAAUUUCAUAAUCCAGGGAUGAAGGAGAGAUGGAGAAUGAGGUGGAAGAAUGUCCCCAGCUCUUUAUCUUUUUCUCUGUAGAGGAAUAAAGCAUAAUGUAAAUCCCAGUAUGUGGGAAUUUACUCUCAUCCUUUUGCAUGGCCAUGUACAUCCACAUCCAUGUAAAGUAUCUUGGACAUUCCUGAUAUUAAUCAUGAGCAGCAAAAUCUCUGUUAUAGGGCCCUACAAGGUUAUGCAUGUCUGAUGUCAAGAAAGGCAGUUUCUAUAACCUAGCCAAGCAGACAAUAUUGAGACAUUCUUAAAUCAGUUUCAGAAUGGAGCCAUUAGUGUUCACUAGAUUCAUAAAUUAGUUGUUUAUUUCUGGUCAGUUUAAGAGAACAAGCAGUUGAUAGACACAUAUAUAAAUGUAUAGUAUGCCUACACAUACAGUAUAUAGUAUGCCUACACAUACAGUCUAUAGGCCUGUAUUCACACAUACGUGCACAGAUGUGAUCACAGGGACAUUUGUAUCGUGUGGGGCUCCACUCCUUAGAAUGAAAACAUCCAAGAAUCUUAAAGAAGAUUUUCUGUAAGUGGAACAAAGGCAAAUAAGAAUUCAUGUCUGACCUCAUCUGACACAAAUACAGCUAUUAAAAAGGGAUUAACAACCUGCACACACAGCAAAGGUUAUAGCUAGUCAUUAAGAGACUAUGGCUUUCUAUACAAUUAGGACACAUUACAAGUCAGCCCAGGGUUAUGCUUGAGUGGGAGAAAUGCCGGGUAAAAGAAAAACUUACAAAUUUACAUGGAGAAACUCUGACAACUCACUGAAGAGGAGUAUGAGGCUGUGACUUAAAACAUCCUGGGAAGUGUUCCACUGAUGCCAAGAGAUGGAAACUAUAAGCGAGCCAUAAAGUGAAACAACACAUAAGAAUUCCAAAUAUAUAUGCUCCAUUUGUUCCAUGAGAAACAGCAGACCCACCUACAAGACAGUUCUUAAUGAUAUUUUCGUUGUGCUCUGUUAAUGUCAAUGAUCCUACUUUUUAUAUGUAUCAGUAGCUCUUCAAAAAUAAAUCCACCAGAGGGUUUGUUUAGUUUGGAAAAUAACAGAUUAAACUAAAAUAAAAAGAUAUACCAAUGACAACUUUAAACUGGAUGAGUAUUUCUCUCUCCCCAUGCCGACCUGUAACAAGUAAUAAAAAGUUAUAAUAACUUUUUCAUACCAUAUGUGUUAUAUGUCUGUCCACAUGGGAUCUUUUCCAUCCAAUGAGCUUGUUGGAUGGCUGGCCAUUGUUGUAAAUUGAUAAAAAUGAAAGAAUUAACUGAUUCCUGACUUUGCUGAAGUUCUGCAAAAAAUUAAGGAAGUGCUUCCAGAAAUGGUUUUUGUUUUUAUGGAUUAAAUAUGCUUUCUGUUUGUACGAAGCACAUAGGUAUGUUAUAUAUGUAAAACAGCUAACCAGGAUGCAUCUCUUAACGAUUAGUACAGUGGGCAGCUGUCAUUCCUCUAUACCACAAGCUGACAGGCAAAAUUAUUGUCUGCCCCAGUCUUUUGGUACAACAGAAAUAAAAUUAUUGUAAUAUUAUGUGCUGGUUGCCUUCUCCACCCCAAUUUUUAUGUGAGACAAUGUGUUGCAAUUUAAAAAAGGAGUAAGUUGUUUAUUAGUUCAUAACAUGCUAGAUUUUGUAUUGGUUAAUUAAUAUUUCACUUUAAAUGUGAAAAAAUGACUUUUUAAUAUUUUAACUGUUUUCACUUCUACUACAUUGUUUCCUUUUAUAUUUGAUACCUACAAUGAUUUCCAUUAAAGCUGUCAGUAAGAAACUAA
Dermochelys coriacea (leatherback sea turtle) is the source of this 4347-nucleotide long non-coding RNA. RefSeq lists it as uncharacterized. NCBI's taxonomy places the organism in Eukaryota, Metazoa, Chordata, Testudines, Dermochelyidae. The record is from RefSeq and is a predicted model, not a curated record. The transcript is spliced from 3 exons.